This is a non-coding RNA of Chlorocebus sabaeus (green monkey), 202 nucleotides long. It matches the Rfam family "Metazoan signal recognition particle RNA". Rfam says of the family: The signal recognition particle (SRP) is a universally conserved ribonucleoprotein. It is involved in the co-translational targeting of proteins to membranes. Lineage: Eukaryota; Metazoa; Chordata; Mammalia; Primates; Cercopithecidae. The record is from Rfam.
GCCAGGUGUGGUGGUGGUGCCUGUAGUCCCAGCUACUCAGAAGGCUGAAGCAGAAGAAUUGCUUGAGCCCGGGAAGCGGAGGUUGUAGUGAGCCAAGGUCACGCCAUUGCCCUCCAGCNNNNNNNNNNGCUGGAGGGCAAUGGCGUGACCUUGGCUCACUACAACCUCCGCUUCCCGGGCUCAAGCAAUUCUUCUGCUUCAG